Molecule: unclassified non-coding RNA, 1502 nt
Filed under: Hevea brasiliensis (rubber tree)
Lineage: Eukaryota; Viridiplantae; Streptophyta; Magnoliopsida; Malpighiales; Euphorbiaceae
Source: RNAcentral
UUCUGGUUUCGCGGUGUGGACCGUGCAGUCAAGAGUCACAAAACAGGGAAAGUAAGGUGUCAAAGAAACUGGAAACGCAAUCAAUCAAACCUUCCCAAAUUGGAAGGUAAAAAAAGAAGAGUUGUUGUGGCUAGAGGCUUGAUUUGAGUUCAUAGGUAGGUUCCGUUGCUUUUUGCUCCAUUGAUCUCCUUCUCUACCUCCUUAUGGCUCCACGGGGACGUACCAAGAAGCGUCAGAUGCGUAUGGAUGCAGCUCUUGAUGCAAUGAUGAGCUAUGGGUUCCCUGAGGAACUGAUUGUCACUACAGUGAAAGAGCUUUUGGAUGUUUAUGGUAUGGAUGGAUGGCCAUUUAUUGAAGAGGCUUCAUAUAGAGUCCUGCUUGACAGUAUUCUUGAAAAGGUUGAGAAGGAGGCAAAGGAAAAGGGUGAUUCCCCGCCAAGCGGUGGCAGAGAUGGGAACAACACCAAAGCAUCAUGUGCUGGGCCAUCAAGCGAGGCUCUUGUACAUACAUACUCUAGUGAGGAGGCUUUGUUGCAGUCUAAUGUAAAUCUGGAUAUUGCAUCAGAUACUGAUAACAAUAAGGCUCCAGUCACUGCAUUACGGGCUGAUGGAUUUGGUAAUGGGCUUCCCAUCCUUUUCUUAAAGCUUAGCAUGUGAUAUGUGAGCGUUGCCCACUGUUUCAGCCAUAUGGUUCUAGCCUCCUUUAUUUUGUGUGUUUUAAUGUAUUUUAUUUUGCACAUUUAGCUAGUACCAUGAAUAUUUUGGAAAGUGUUGGAUUAUGGAUGCGUUACGAAAUAAUGUCUUUAGAUUUCUUUUAUACAGCAACAUUCAAGAAUGAAGUGCCUCUUAUUGUGACAGUUGACAAGAAUAAAGCAGAACUUCAUCCAAAUAUACUCUGAAUUUUGCUUUCUUUUCCUUAGUUCAGCUUUUCUUUUGUAGAAUGUAAUACUUGUCCACCAGAAGCUGAAGUAGAAGGAAAUACUUGGAAGGACAUCAACUUAGAUCAACGCUCCAGGGAAAAGCAAAUGAGCAACUCAAAUGGAAAUUUUCAUGCUGUUCCCAAACUUGGAAGCAGCAGCCACUCUGUUCAACAUGAUAUUCGCUCCCCAGAACGAGUGGAUGCUCUUCCAAGGCGAAGCCGUAGACCUUUCCAUGGAUGGAUUAGUAGUGAUGAUGAGGAGGAACUUGUGGAACUAACACCAGCACCAUUGCACGAGACAUUAGCAAAGAUAUUAUAUACAACAGAUGUUUCCAAGAAUCGCAAGAGAAGAUGGGACGUAAGGCCUGAAGAUAUGUAAACUUUCCUAGCACUAUCUUUAUGGUUGCAAGAAAGAUGAAGAUCUGGGGAUUAAACUAGUUUCUCCCUACUGUUUUUGUAUAUAGUUAGGCAUCUUUAAAAGAACUUCUAGACAAGAAACAUUUGGGGUUUUGAAUUGUUGAAUGGUCAGUUCUUGUUCAAGGAUUUUAGCAAGUUCUUUACAAUGCAAAGAAAAUAUGCACGGG